RNAcentral lists this ribosomal RNA (501 nucleotides) under uncultured bacterium. Its description in RNAcentral is "bacterial SSU rRNA". It matches the Rfam family "Bacterial small subunit ribosomal RNA", at positions 28 to 523 of the family's 1533-position model. The record is from RNAcentral.
GAUGAACGCUAGCGGCAGGCUUAAUACAUGCAAGUCGAACGGGAUUCAGGGUAGCAAUACUUUGAUGAGAGUGGCGCACGGGUGCGUAACGCGUAUGCAACCUACCUUUAACAGGGGAAUAGCCCCGAGAAAUCGGGAUUAAUACUCCGUAACAUUGCGGGAUGGCAUCAUUCUGCAAUUAAAGAUUUAUCGGUUAAAGAUGGGCAUGCGUGACAUUAGCUUGUUGGUGAGGUAACGGCUCACCAAGGCAACGAUGUCUAGGGGUCCUGAGAGGGUUAUCCCCCACACUGGUACUGAGACACGGACCAGACUCCUACGGGAGGCAGCAGUAAGGAAUAUUGGUCAAUGGGCGCAAGCCUGAACCAGCCCAUGCCGCGUGCAGGAAGACGGCCCUAUGGGUUGUAAACUGCUUUUGUCAGGGAUAAACCUGUCUACGUGUAGACAGCUGAAGGUACCUGAAGAAUAAGCAAUCGGCUAACUCCGUGCCAGCAGCCGCGGUAA